Molecule: ribosomal RNA, 457 nt
Filed under: Pseudomonas sp.
Lineage: Bacteria; Pseudomonadati; Pseudomonadota; Gammaproteobacteria; Pseudomonadales; Pseudomonadaceae
Description: bacterial SSU rRNA
Rfam family: Bacterial small subunit ribosomal RNA
Source: RNAcentral
UGCAGUCGAGCGGUAGAGAGAAGCUUGCUUCUCUUGAGAGCGGCGGACGGGUGAGUAAUGCCUAGGAAUCUGCCUGGUAGUGGGGGAUAACGUUCGGAAACGGACGCUAAUACCGCAUACGUCCUACGGGAGAAAGCAGGGGACCUUCGGGCCUUGCGCUAUCAGAUGAGCCUAGGUCGGAUUAGCUAGUUGGUGGGGUAAUGGCUCACCAAGGCGACGAUCCGUAACUGGUCUGAGAGGAUGAUCAGUCACACUGGAACUGAGACACGGUCCAGACUCCUACGGGAGGCAGCAGUGGGGAAUAUUGGACAAUGGGCGAAAGCCUGAUCCAGCCAUGCCGCGUGUGUGAAGAAGGUCUUCGGAUUGUAAAGCACUUUAAGUUGGGAGGAAGGGUUGUAGAUUAAUACUCUGCAAUUUUGACGUUACCGACAGAAUAAGCACCGGCUAACUCUGUGCC